UUGGUGGAAACCAAAUAGAGGUAUAUCACUGUUAAUGAUAAAAUUGAGUUAUAACUCCCUCCAAG
RNAcentral lists this transfer RNA (65 nucleotides) under Varuna litterata. RNAcentral's name for it is "tRNA-Asn". Lineage: Eukaryota; Metazoa; Arthropoda; Malacostraca; Decapoda; Varunidae. The record is from RNAcentral.